RNAcentral lists this ribosomal RNA (253 nucleotides) under uncultured bacterium. RNAcentral's name for it is "partial 16S ribosomal RNA". It matches the Rfam family "Bacterial small subunit ribosomal RNA", at positions 524 to 776 of the family's 1533-position model. The record is from RNAcentral.
UACGUAGGGGGCGAGCGUUAUCCGGAUUCACUGGGUGUAAAGGGCGUGUAGCCGGGUUGACAAGUCAGAUGUGAAAUCCUGCGGCUUAACCGCAGAACUGCAUUUGAAACUGUUGAUCUUGAGUACUGGAGAGGCAGACGGAAUUCCUAGUGUAGCGGUGAAAUGCGUAGAUAUUAGGAGGAACACCAGUGGCGAAGGCGGUCUGCUGGACAGCAACUGACGGUGAGGCGCGAAAGCGUGGGGAGCAAACAGG